This 348-nucleotide ribosomal RNA is filed under the name Triticum aestivum (bread wheat). RNAcentral describes it as "partial small subunit ribosomal RNA". The record is from RNAcentral. Lineage: Eukaryota; Viridiplantae; Streptophyta; Magnoliopsida; Poales; Poaceae.
AUGGCGAAGAAGGCCGCAAAGCAAGCUGUUGGUGAAGCAAGGGGUCGGGCAUAUGAGGACCUCUACCAACGGUUAGGCACGAAGGAAGGUGAAAGGGACAUCUAUAAGAUGGCUAAGAUCCAGGAGAGGAAGACGAGGGAUAUUGGCCAAGUCAAAUGCAUCAAGGACGGAGCAGGCCAACUCUUGGUGAAGGACGAAGAGAUUAAGCAUAGAUGGCGGGAGUACUUCGACAAGCUGUUCAAUGGGGAGAAUGAGAGUUCUACCAUUGAACUGAAUGACUCCUUUGAUGAGACCAGCAUGCGUUUUGUGCGGCGCAUCCAGGAGUCUGAGGUGAAGGAGGCUUUAUAA